CGCUGGGCUCUGAACCAACUCUGGGCGAUAGGCAGAGGGAAAGUCAAACAGGCUGGGGUCGAAAUCCAGAUCAGUCCAUCAGCAAAUAAUAUCCAGUCAUGAGCCGAGGUCAGACUUACAGAGAGAUCAUCAGACAGUAUCAGAGAAAUCCAAGCUCACGGUCAAGAUCAGGCUGAUAGUCAGAACGGCAAGACAGUCCAAGCAGGCAAGCAGUGUACUGAAAGAGAAUCCAGACUCCAAAACCAGAACCAGAUCAGAUGGUCAAAACCAGGAGAGCUGUCCAAAGCCGGUGAAAGAUCUGGACUGCAGGCAGGCCAAUUCAGCACCCGGACUCUUCUACGACGAAGCCAUGCUGUUGUAAUAGCUGCAGAAUGUGGUUUUGCAUUGUCCUGCUGAAAUACACAAGGCCUUCCCUGAAAUAGACAUCAUCUGGAGGGGAGCAUAUGUUGAUCUAAAACCUUUCUAUACCUUUCAGCAUUCAUAGUGCCUUCCAAAACAUGCAAGCUGCCCAUACCGUAUGCACUUAUGCACCCCCAUACCAUCAGAGAUGCUGGCUUUUGAACUGAACGCUGAUAACACGCUGGAAGGUCUCGCUCCUCUUUAGCCCGGAGGACACGGCGUCCGUGAUUUCCAAUGAGAAUGUCAAAUUUGGACUCGUCUGACCAUAGAACACUUUUCCACUUUGAAACAGUCCAUUUUAAAUGAGCCUUGGCCUACAAGACACGACGGCGCUUCUGGACCAUGUUCACAUAUGGCUUCCUUUUCGCAUGAUAGAGAUUUAGUUGGCAUCUGCAGAUGGCGCGGCGGACUGUGUUUACCGACAGUGGUUUCUGGAAGUAUUCCUGGGCCCAUUUAGUAAUGUCAUUGACACAAUCAUGCCGACGAGGGAUGCUAUGUCGUCUGAGGACCCGAAGACCACGGGCAUCCAAUAAAGGUCUUCGGUCUUGUCCCUUACGCACAGAGAUUUCUCCAGUUUCUCUGAAUCUCUUGAUGAUGUUAUGCACUGUAGAUGAUGAGAUUUGCAAGGCCUUUGCAAUUUGACGUUGAGGAACAUUGUUUUUAAAGUAUUCCACAAUCUUUUUAUGCACUCUUUCACAGAUCUGCCCAUCUUUACUUCUGAGAGACUCUGCCUCUCUAAGACAUCCCUUUUAUAGCUAAUCAUGUUACAGACCUGAUAUCAAUUAACUUAAUUAGUUGCUAGAUGUUCUCCCAGCUAAAUCUUUUCAAAAUUUCUUGCUUUUUCAGCCAUUUGUUGCCCCUAUGCCAACUUUUUUGAGACCUAGCAGGCAUCAAAUUUGAUCAUUUAGUGGAUAAAAGUGUAAAAUUUCUCAGUUUAAACAUUUGUUAUGUUAUCUAUGUUCUAUUGUGAAUAAAAUAUUGGCUCAUGUGAUAUGAAA
Long non-coding RNA from Ctenopharyngodon idella (grass carp), 1397 nucleotides. RefSeq lists it as uncharacterized. The transcript has 2 exons. The record is from RefSeq and is a predicted model, not a curated record. NCBI's taxonomy places the organism in Eukaryota, Metazoa, Chordata, Actinopteri, Cypriniformes, Xenocyprididae.